Molecule: ribosomal RNA, 520 nt
Filed under: uncultured bacterium
Lineage: Bacteria
Description: bacterial SSU rRNA
Rfam family: Bacterial small subunit ribosomal RNA
Source: RNAcentral
CGAGACGAACGCUGGCGGCGUGCCUAAUACAUGCAAGUCGAACGGUCUUUCUAUGGAAGCUUGCUUCCACUGAGAAGAUAGUGGCGAACGGGUGAGUAACACGUGGGUAACCUGCCCAUAAGAGGGGGAUAACAUCCGGAAACGGGUGCUAAUACCGCAUAGUUUUCUUGAUCGCAUGAUCGGGAAAGGAAAGACGGCCUUUGUGCUGUCGCUUAUGGAUGGACCCGCGGCGUAUUAGUUAGUUGGUGAGGUAACGGCUCACCAAGACGAUGAUACGUAGCCGACCUGAGAGGGUGAUCGGCCACAUUGGGACUGAGACACGGCCCAAACUCCUACGGGAGGCAGCAGUAGGGAAUCUUCCGCAAUGGACGAAAGUCUGACGGAGCAACGCCGCGUGAGUGAAGAAAGGUUUUCGGAUCGUAAAACUCUGUUGUCAGAGAAGAACAAGUUGGAGAGUAACUGCUCCAGCCUUGACGGUAUCUGACCAGAAAGCCACGGCUAACUACGUGCCAGCCGCAGC